Molecule: small RNA, 212 nt
Filed under: Citrobacter farmeri
Lineage: Bacteria; Pseudomonadati; Pseudomonadota; Gammaproteobacteria; Enterobacterales; Enterobacteriaceae
Description: rncO
Rfam family: rncO
About the family: This family represents a bacterial regulatory element (rncO) found in the rnc leader sequence. The rnc operon is negatively auto-regulated by transcript stability. rnc, the first gene in the operon codes for RNase III which cleaves the long rncO stem II leading to transcript degradation and a reduction in translation.
Source: RNAcentral
AAGUUUCAGGUUGGCGCCUCCAGGUCGCCACGGCACACGAAACAGCGUUGGUCCCCCUAUAUGAGCGUACAUAAGCUGCUUAACGCGGCUGACAGAAUGCUACAUAUAUCAGGUCUGUUUCGUGUGCUGAAUUGUUGACGCAUUUAUUUAUUGGUAUCGCAUGAACCCCAUCGUAAUUAAUCGGCUUCAACGGAAGCUGGGCUACACUUUUA